UCGGAGUUGAUUCUGCUGAGAACUUUGACUGUGGGUAUUUUAUACCCAACAUCAGUCCCCCUACUUUCGAGUUUGAAUUUCGAAUGAAGGAAGUACAGAGAGAUUGGUAUAGCCGAAGUUGUCCCCUCGAAUCCUACGCACGGCCGCCCCCAUACAUUUUGGCAUUAAAUGUGCGCGUGCUGGAGUCUUUUCGAAUCGGGGCGAUACGAAGGGACCCUUCGAAAUUCCCGCCAGUACACUGGCCUAGGUAUGGUGCCAUAAUGGCUCUGCCGAUUCGUCAGCCGCUUUUAGCCGCCCGUCGGGGGGAGUGGGACACGUGUCGGGUGCUGGCUGGCCUGGGGG
Molecule: long non-coding RNA, 342 nt
Filed under: Elaeis guineensis (African oil palm)
Lineage: Eukaryota; Viridiplantae; Streptophyta; Magnoliopsida; Arecales; Arecaceae
Description: long non-coding RNA (EGUI_LNC070897)
Source: RNAcentral